GAUGAAGAACGUAGUGAAAUGCGAUAAGUAAUGUGAAUUGCUGAAUUCAGUGAAUCAUCGAAUCUUUGAACGCACCUUGCGCUCCUUGGUAUUCCAAGGAGCAUGCCUGUUUGAGUAUCAUUAAAUUAUCAACUGUGCCAAUUUGGUUACAGAUUGGAUGUGGGAGAUUCUUUUUGCAGGCCUUUGACUUCUCUUUGAGAAAAAAAUAAAAGGUCGGCUCUCCUGAAAUGUAUUAGCAGUGCCUGUGUUGGUUCAUUAGGUGUGAUAAAUUGUCUACAUCUUCACAUGAUACCUUCAUUUGUAAAGGUUAUAUUGCUUCUAAAUUGUCUUUGAUUGGACGCAAAACAUAUAUAAUGUUUGACAAACUUGAUCUCAAAUCAGGCAGGACUACCCGCUGAACUUAAGCAUAUCAAUAAGCGGAGGA
RNAcentral lists this unclassified non-coding RNA (424 nucleotides) under soil metagenome. RNAcentral describes it as "partial contains 5.8S ribosomal RNA, internal transcribed spacer 2, and large subunit ribosomal RNA". The stretch from base 1 to 120 matches the Rfam family "5.8S ribosomal RNA", at positions 35 to 154 of the family's 154-position model. The record is from RNAcentral.